AAGGCUAAAUACUCCUGACUGACCGAUAGUGAACCAGUACCGUGAGGGAAAGGCGAAAAGAACCCCGGCGAGGGGAGUGAAAAAGAACCUGAAACCGUGUACGUACAAGCAGUGGGAGCCCCACCACCAAAGCAUUCUCUGGUGUUGAAGGCCCUGCAAAGCAGCAUCGCGGUGGCGGAGCGUCGUUUGCGACGCCCAACACACAAAACAAGCGGUGAGUGCUUUGGGGUGGGGUGACUGCGUACCUUUUGUAUAAUGGGUCAGCGACUUAUAUUCUGUAGCAAGGUUAACCGUAUAGGGGAGCCGCAGGGAAACCGAGUCUUAACCGGGCGUUAAGUUGCAGGGUAUAGACCCGAAACC
Molecule: ribosomal RNA, 360 nt
Filed under: Salmonella enterica subsp. enterica serovar Apeyeme
Lineage: Bacteria; Pseudomonadati; Pseudomonadota; Gammaproteobacteria; Enterobacterales; Enterobacteriaceae
Description: partial 23S ribosomal RNA
Rfam family: Bacterial large subunit ribosomal RNA
Source: RNAcentral